AUUGAACGCUGGCGGCAUGCUUUACACAUGCAAGUCGAACGGUAACAGGCCUUCGGGUGCUGACGAGUGGCGAACGGGUGAGUAAUGCAUCGGAACGUGCCCAAUCGUGGGGGAUAACGUAGCGAAAGUUACGCUAAUACCGCAUAAGCCCUGAGGGGGAAAGUGGGGGACCGCAAGGCCUCACGCGAAUGGAGCGGCCGAUGUCAGAUUAGCUAGUUGGUGGGGUAAAGGCUCACCAAGGCGAAGACGGGUAGCUGGUUUGAGAGAAUGAUCAGCCACACUGGCACUGGAACACGGGCCAGACUCCUACGGGAGGCAGCAGUGAGGAAUAUUGGGCAAUGGGCGAAAGCCUGACCCAGCCACGCCGCGUGAGUGAUGAAGGCCCUCGGGUCGUAAAGCUCUGUGGAGAGGGACGAAAACCCUGGUUUCAAAUAGGCUCCAGGCUUGACGGUACCUCUUUAGCAAGCACCGGCUAACUCUGUGCCAGCAGCCGACGG
This 497-nucleotide ribosomal RNA is filed under the name uncultured bacterium. RNAcentral describes it as "bacterial SSU rRNA". It matches the Rfam family "Bacterial small subunit ribosomal RNA", at positions 29 to 520 of the family's 1533-position model. The record is from RNAcentral.